Austrofundulus limnaeus is the source of this 981-nucleotide long non-coding RNA. RefSeq lists it as uncharacterized. Lineage: Eukaryota; Metazoa; Chordata; Actinopteri; Cyprinodontiformes; Rivulidae. The transcript is spliced from 4 exons. The record is from RefSeq and is a predicted model, not a curated record.
GUAGAGUGCGCCCUCUAAAGGAUGGAGGACUUGGAGCUCACAGUUGGCAGAGAGUGACAAAUCAAUGAUGCUAAACUUAGUCUCACUGGGAAAAACUGCCCAGAACUACGACUUCAGUUCUGUCGCCAGGAGUCACAGAAGGAGCUAAAUGUCUCUCGGAACUGGGGAGAUUUUAUUUUGGCCACGUCUCAAAGGAGAAAGUUCACUCUUGACUUUCAUUGCAGCUUUUUGAAGAGAUCUCUGCUCAUACAGUCGGCCCUGGAGGGCUACAAUGUUUUGCCUACGGUCAGACAGGAAGUGGGAACUUGCACCACCAACCCCACUGCCCAGGGCUUCUCCCAGCUGGACUCUGUAGAGGAUCAGACUGCAGAGGAGUCAUCAGUUCAGCUUCACGGCCAGUUCAGUUGAGAUUUGCAAGAAAACUCUGCAGGAUCUGCUCCCCACCUGCGAGCCCAGCAAAAGGUCUGAGCAUGACAUCAGAAGAGCUCAACCAAUGAGGUGACGUCACCAGGUUUACAGAGGACCAGGUUUUCAGUCUCACUCUGGCCAAACGGAAUCAAACCAACGGCCCAGAACGACCGCUUGUCCCGCUCCAACUCAGUCCAGCUGCAGAUCAAGGGAGUGAACACUGGGAGGGGCGUUGGAUGUCCACUCUGUACCUGGUGGACCAGCAGGCAGUGAGGAUGCUGAAGAGUCAGUCUCAGGGGGAGAUCUUUAACGAGAUGGUGUCCAUCAACAGCUUCCUGUCCAACCUCAGCUUCUCUGCUCUGACCAAAGCGAGCUCAGAUGUUCUGCAGCUUUUAGACACCUGGAGUAUCUGACGUUCUUGUGUUCACGUUCUCCCAACACUAACUUUGUUCCAGGGGAGCCACAUUCCUUACAGAAACUCCUAUCUUCUGCAGGAAUAUUUUUGAGGAAAUGGCAGUUAUUUCAAACUCAAGUUUUCAAAUGACUUAACUUGAAUCUGUUUAAAUAAAGGAA